RNAcentral lists this transfer RNA (75 nucleotides) under Oscillospiraceae bacterium. RNAcentral's name for it is "tRNA-Gln". It matches the Rfam family "tRNA". From Rfam's summary of the family: Transfer RNA (tRNA) molecules are approximately 80 nucleotides in length. RNAcentral also lists the same sequence under 2 other names. The record is from RNAcentral. Lineage: Bacteria; Bacillati; Bacillota; Clostridia; Eubacteriales; Oscillospiraceae.
UGGGGUGUCGCCAAGCGGUAAGGCACGGGACUUUGACUCCCGCAUCCGUAGGUUCGAAUCCUGCCACCCCAGCCA